Molecule: ribosomal RNA, 468 nt
Filed under: uncultured bacterium
Lineage: Bacteria
Description: partial 16S ribosomal RNA
Rfam family: Bacterial small subunit ribosomal RNA
Source: RNAcentral
GACGAACGCUGGCGGCGUGCUUAACACAUGCAAGUCGAACGGAAAGGCCCUGCUUUUGUGGGGUGCUCGAGUGGCGAACGGGUGAGUAACACGUGAGUAACCUGCCCUCGACUUUGGGAUAACUUCAGGAAACUGGGGCUAAUACCGGAUAGGAGCUCCUGCUGCAUGGUGGGGGUUGGAAAGUUUCGGCGGUUGGGGAUGGACUCGCGGCUUAUCAGCUUGUUGGUGGGGUAGUGGCUUACCAAGGCUUUGACGGGUAGCCGGCCUGAGAGGGUGACAGGCCACAUUGGGCCUGAGGUACGGCCCGGACUCCUACGGGCGGCAGCAGUGGGGAAUAGUGCACAAUGGGCGGAAGCCUGAUGCAGCACCGCCGCGUGCGGGAUGACGGCCUUCGGGUUGUAAACCGCUUUCGCCUGUGACGAAGCGUGAGUGACGGUAAUGGGUAAAGAAGCACCGGCUAACUACGUG